This 331-nucleotide long non-coding RNA is filed under the name Ursus maritimus (polar bear). RNAcentral describes it as "lncRNA (ENSUMAG00000003289.1)". The record is from RNAcentral. Lineage: Eukaryota; Metazoa; Chordata; Mammalia; Carnivora; Ursidae.
CCAGAUGAAGAGAGAGUGAAGAUCAUUUGUCAUAAUGUCAACCUAUAAACGUCUUGAAGAGAUUCCAUUGAUAUAAAGCAUAAAUAUAUCCUUGCUGGGAAAAAUAGGAGCAGUGUUUUCUGGUUAUAAGGAGUGUUUGUUGGAGCUACAGGAGUGUGGAAGCAAUUUCAGAAGCAUCAUUGCCAGGAGGCUCUUGCAGAGAGAACUCAGCUGCUAUGGGAAAUGGGUUAAGCCUUCACAGGACAUACAUGCUAAAGUACCAGAGUGGAAUGUUGUCCUGGUGUUUGAUGGGAUGCUCAGGGUAGUGGGCAGGCCAAGAAAGGCCAAGUAG